Molecule: non-coding RNA, 668 nt
Organism: Paramuricea clavata
Lineage: Eukaryota; Metazoa; Cnidaria; Anthozoa; Malacalcyonacea; Plexauridae
Source: the annotation of a GenBank genome assembly
GCAGAAAUUUUUUUUGGGAUCACUUUCUUUGGGAGCUUGGUAACCGCGCCUGUAUGAUGCAAUAUAGGAAGCCUGCACAGCAGGAAAUAGAUUGCGGUCGAAUUCUUUGACGCGACUUAUACUUUAUAUUCACAUUAAUAUCGCUGCGGUUUUGACGCAUUAUUCAUUGGGUCUUUCCAAAAGCUUUGUACCCAUAAAUAAAAUGUAAUAAAAAGAGAACAUAUUGCAAAUUUUUUUUAUAAAAUAGAUCAAAAUAUACCAUAAAUAUCGAAAUAUUGAAUUUCGUUUUGAAUAUAUGCUUGUAUAAAGGUCAUAAGUUCGUGCGUAUUCGAAAUAUAGACACAUAGAACACAUUCAAAUUAUUCAAUUAAGUAAAAUUAACUAUGAAUUUAUUUUAAAAGAUUCCCUGUUUGUAUUAUAUUGUGCACUUUGACUAAUACUGUGCGAGUCGUGUGAGUGUAUGUCACAGAUAGUCUCGGUUGAAACGUGAUGUUUAUACUAGUCGACAAAUAUGCAAACCACACACUCGAAUGCUUAUUAUAUGCGCACUGAUGUCUUUAUCAUGAUUAUCAUGUUUUAUAUCAAAAUUCAAAGAUCAAAAUUUGCCUGGGCGCAAUGCAGAAUGUCCUGUAAAUAAGACACGUUUAUAGAUUUCGCAUUAUAAACUG